This is a non-coding RNA of Camelina sativa (false flax), 1164 nucleotides long. Lineage: Eukaryota; Viridiplantae; Streptophyta; Magnoliopsida; Brassicales; Brassicaceae. The record is from RefSeq and is a predicted model, not a curated record.
UACAUGUCAUCAAUUGAUUGGACAAACCGAUUAAUAGAGAUAAAAGAUUUUUUUGAUGGUCGAUUGAUUUUUUUUUUCUUCUUCUUCCUCUUCCUCUCUCUGUCUCUCUCUCGAACUCGUGAAUUGACAAUCGAAGAAGUAGAUGAAAUUGGAGGAGAUUGAAUCGGCGGAGGUGAUUGAAUUGAUCUCAGUCGGCAGUUAUUUUGUUAUAUUAUGUUCUUUGAAAUCGAGAAUCUCCUUCUCGUUGGUUCGCGGGUCGUUCUGUUUGGACAGUGUUUAUUGAAGCUAUGUCUAAAGGAACAGCAUAGACGACUCUUUUACUAAUUACAGAUCUCAAGUAACUGAGCUUUUGUCUCAAGGUGAGAGGAUCUCACCUGCGGUCUCGUGAGUUUAGAAACCAUGAAGGUAUAUGUGUUGAUUGGAUAACGGAUUAGAGUUGAUUGGAUUUUGUUCGUAAAUUUGGGUUUAGGGUUGGGAGUUCGAAAUUUUAGGGUUCUUGCUAUAUGAUUGUGGCUUCAGCUCUAUUAUGUAAUCAUUUUGGUGUUUGUAUUAGGUUCCUUAAUUGGUUUUAGUUUCUUCUAUUAUGUAAUCGGCUUCAGCUCCCUAUGUUAUGUAAUUGGCUUCUCUUGUGUUUGCUGAUCUUGUGUAUGUGGUUUGGUGUUUGUAAUCGGCUUCAGCUCUAUUAAAGUUUGGCCAUGUUUAUAAAGCAAGAGAGAAACGGCCAAUCUUUGGGUAUGGAGUGUCUAGAGUGAUAGAAUCUGGGCAGCCAAUCUUUGGGUAUUGAAAUACCAUCCCUAGUUUAUUAUCAUUAAGAACUUAAACUGAGUAUUUAGGAAGUUGAUGCAAACCCUCUUCUCUUUAGUUAUCUGGAUCAGUUUGAUGUGGCGCAAAGAUGAAAACUUGAUUGCAGUUGUUGACACUAGUAGGCAGAGUGGGUUUGGUGGAGUCUUCAGCCCGAGAAUUUGGUAUUUGCAAGAAUGUUAAUUUAACAUGAUUAAGGUUUUCCUUUAGAUUGCUUUCGUGGAUAGAUGCUUAACAAAAUUCUCUCGGCUGCUUGUGAUGUAUAUAUUCUUCCAUCUUUUGUUGGUUUCAUCUUGAUAUACAAUGAGUCAUUUUUGUAGUUGCAGAUUACAGAUCCAAUUCUGUUCCAUAUUUUGUUUCUUU